This 876-nucleotide ribosomal RNA is filed under the name uncultured soil bacterium. RNAcentral describes it as "bacterial SSU rRNA". It matches the Rfam family "Bacterial small subunit ribosomal RNA", at positions 60 to 932 of the family's 1533-position model. The record is from RNAcentral.
AGUCGAACGGCAGCACGGGCUUCGGCCUGGUGGCGAGUGGCGAACGGGUGAGUAAUACAUCGGAACGUGCCCUGUAGUGGGGGAUAACUAGUCGAAAGAUUAGCUAAUACCGCAUACGACCUGAGGGUGAAAGCGGGGGACCGCAAGGCCUCGCGCUACAGGAGCGGCCGAUGUCUGAUUAGCUAGUUGGUGGGGUAAAAGCCUACCAAGGCGACGAUCAGUAGCUGGUCUGAGAGGACGAUCAGCCACACUGGGACUGAGACACGGCCCAGACUCCUACGGGAGGCAGCAGUGGGGAAUUUUGGACAAUGGGGGCAACCCUGAUCCAGCAAUGCCGCGUGUGUGAAGAAGGCCUUCGGGUUGUAAAGCACUUUUGUCCGGAAAGAAAUGGCUCUGGUUAAUACCCGGGGUCGAUGACGGUACCGGAAGAAUAAGCACCGGCUAACUACGUGCCAGCAGCCGCGGUAAUACGUAGGGUGCGAGCGUUAAUCGGAAUUACUGGGCGUAAAGCGUGCGCAGGCGGUUUUGUAAGACAGGCGUGAAAUCCCCGAGCUCAACUUGGGAAUGGCGCUUGUGACUGCAAGGCUAGAGUAUGUCAGAGGGGGGUAGAAUUCCACGUGUAGCAGUGAAAUGCGUAGAGAUGUGGAGGAAUACCGAUGGCGAAGGCAGCCCCCUGGGACGUCACUGACGCUCAUGCACGAAAGCGUGGGGAGCAAACAGGAUUAGAUACCCUGGUAGUCCACGCCCUAAACGAUGUCAACUAGUUGUUGGGGAUUCAUUUCUUCAGUAACGUAGCUAACGCGUGAAGUUGACCGCCUGGGGAGUACGGUCGCAAGAUUAAAACUCAAAGGAAUUGACGGGGACCCGCACAAGCGG